This 496-nucleotide ribosomal RNA is filed under the name uncultured bacterium. RNAcentral's name for it is "partial 16S ribosomal RNA". It matches the Rfam family "Bacterial small subunit ribosomal RNA", at positions 30 to 523 of the family's 1533-position model. The record is from RNAcentral.
AUUGAACGCUGGCGGAAUGCUUUACACAUGCAAGUCGAACGGUAGAGGGGGCAACCCCUCGAGAGUGGCGAACGGGUGAGUAAUAUAUCGGAACGUGCCCAGUCGUGGGGGAUAACGUAGCGAAAGUUACGCUAAUACCGCAUACGAUCUAAGGAUGAAAGCGGGGGAUCGCAAGACCUCGCGCGAUUGGAGCGGUCGAUAUCAGAUUAGGUAGUUGGUGGGGUAAAGGCUCACCAAGCCAACGAUCUGUAGCUGGUCUGAGAGGACGACCAGCCCCACUUGAACUGAGACACGGUCCAGACUCCUACGGGAGGCAGCAGUGGGGAAUUUUGGACAAUGGACGCAAGUCUGAUCCAGCCAUUCCGCGUGCAGGAUGAAGGCCCUCGGGUUGUAAACUGCUUUUGUACGGAACGAAAAGGUCUCUCUUAAUACGGGGGGCUCAUGACGGUACCGUAAGAAUAAGCACCGGCUAACUACGUGCCAGCCGCCGCGGUAA